RNAcentral lists this ribosomal RNA (465 nucleotides) under Vreelandella stevensii. Its description in RNAcentral is "partial 16S ribosomal RNA". It matches the Rfam family "Bacterial small subunit ribosomal RNA", at positions 338 to 795 of the family's 1533-position model. The record is from RNAcentral. Lineage: Bacteria; Pseudomonadati; Pseudomonadota; Gammaproteobacteria; Oceanospirillales; Halomonadaceae.
CCUACGGGGGGCUGCAGUGGGGAAUAUUGGACAAUGGGGGCAACCCUGAUCCAGCCAUGCCGCGUGUGUGAAGAAGGCCCUCGGGUUGUAAAGCACUUUCAGUGAGGAAGAACGCCUGGUGGUUAAUACCCAUCAGGAAAGACAUCACUCACAGAAGAAGCACCGGCUAACUCCGUGCCAGCAGCCGCGGUAAUACGGAGGGUGCGAGCGUUAAUCGGAAUUACUGGGCGUAAAGCGCGCGUAGGUGGCUUGAUAAGCCGGUUGUGAAAGCCCCGGGCUCAACCUGGGAACGGCAUCCGGAACUGUCCAGCUAGAGUGCAGGAGAGGAAGGUAGAAUUCCCGGUGUAGCGGUGAAAUGCGUAGAGAUCGGGAGGAAUACCAGUGGCGAAGGCGGCCUUCUGGACUGACACUGACACUGAGGUGCGAAAGCGUGGGUAGCAAACAGGAUUAGAUACCCUGGUAGUC